RNAcentral lists this ribosomal RNA (274 nucleotides) under uncultured bacterium. RNAcentral describes it as "partial 16S ribosomal RNA". It matches the Rfam family "Bacterial small subunit ribosomal RNA", at positions 523 to 796 of the family's 1533-position model. The record is from RNAcentral.
AUACGGAGGGGACUAGCGUUGUUCGGAAUUACUGGGCGUAAAGCGCGCGUAGGCGGAUCAGAAAGUAAGAGGUGAAAUCCCAGGGCUCAACCCUGGAACUGCCUUUUAAACUCCUGAUCUUGAGUUCGAGAGAGGUGAGUGGAAUUCCAAGUGUAGAGGUGAAAUUCGUAGAUAUUUGGAGGAACACCAGUGGCGAAGGCGGCUCACUGGCUCGAUACUGACGCUGAGGUGCGAAAGCGUGGGGAGCAAACAGGAUUAGAAACCCCAGUAGUCC